UUAAGUUCAGCGGGUAUUCCUACCUGAUCCGAGGUCAACCUUAUAAAAAUAGGGGGUUUAACGGCAGGACGUCAGCACCGGCACCUGAAGCGAGAAGAAUUACUACGCUUAGGGUCAGCACGACUCCGCCACUCUAUUUAAGGAGCUAUCCCUAGAGAUAGGCUCCCAAAACCAAGCAGCUAGGGCUUGAUGGUCGAAAU
Molecule: unclassified non-coding RNA, 200 nt
Filed under: Diatrype sp.
Lineage: Eukaryota; Fungi; Ascomycota; Sordariomycetes; Xylariales; Diatrypaceae
Description: partial internal transcribed spacer 2
Source: RNAcentral